RNAcentral lists this ribosomal RNA (246 nucleotides) under uncultured bacterium. RNAcentral's name for it is "partial 16S ribosomal RNA". It matches the Rfam family "Bacterial small subunit ribosomal RNA", at positions 523 to 769 of the family's 1533-position model. The record is from RNAcentral.
AUACGUAGGGGGCUAGCGUUAUCCGGAUUUACUGGGCGUAAAGGGUGCGUAGGUGGUCUUUCAAGUCGGUGGUUAAAGGCUACGGCUCAACCGUAUUAAGCCGCCGAAACUGGAAGACUUGAGUGCAGGAGAGGAAAGUGGAAUUCCUAGUGUAGCGGUGAAAUGCGUAGAUAUUAGGAGGAACACCAGUAGCGAAGGCGGCUUUCUGGACUGUAACUGACACUGAGGCACGAAAGCGUGGGGAGC